GAGACAUUAACGAAGCCAUUUAUUGGCAUUAAUUCUUUCAUUCUGUGAAUUUAUCUUUGCUUUGGGUGUCUGUCUUGUAUAGGUGCCCAAAAUUUUUAACACUAAACAUUUUAUUAAUUGUCUGACUGAUUAUAAAAUAAAUUAAUCAAAACUUUCAACAACGGAUCUCUUGGUUCUCGCAUCGAUGAAGAACGCAGCAAAACGCGAUAUGUAAUGUGAAUUGCAGAAUUUUGUGAAUCAUCGAAUUUUUGAACGCACAUUGCGCCCUUUGGUAUUCCGAAGGGCAUACCUGUUUGAGCGUCAUUUCUUCUUCAUUUUAAAUGGUUUUGUGUGUAUUUUUUACUUGUAAAAAGGUAAAAUCACACUAAAUGAAAUGGCAUGAUUGUUAUCUUGUGAAAGCGUUUUAGGUCUACCAACUACGUAAAUAACAGAUGACUAUGGUCAGGCCUAUAUAACAUUCUAUUCAAAAUUUGACCUCAAAUCAGGCAGGAAUACCCGCUGAACUUAA
Molecule: ribosomal RNA, 508 nt
Filed under: Spencermartinsiella sp. AIRB-ML9.2
Lineage: Eukaryota; Fungi; Ascomycota; Dipodascomycetes; Dipodascales; Trichomonascaceae
Description: eukaryotic LSU rRNA
Rfam family: 5.8S ribosomal RNA (bases 150-303)
Source: RNAcentral